Cyprinus carpio carpio is the source of this 2285-nucleotide long non-coding RNA. NCBI's taxonomy places the organism in Eukaryota, Metazoa, Chordata, Actinopteri, Cypriniformes, Cyprinidae. The record is from Ensembl.
AUGGGUUUUGUCCACAGGCCAGCUGGAGUUUUGUGUUGCAGAAGACUUGCAGAAACGAGAUUUGAGAUGCCUCGGACGAAGCAGUCUCAGCGUUCUCAGGCAGCCAAGAAGAGAAUCGUGAACCGGCUAGCUGCUAAUCCUGAAGAGAUCUUGUCACCUGUUAAAAAAAGAAAAGAAAUACAAGAGCCUGAUCCUACUUUUGCCAAUUGUUCCGAAUUUGCCAAUUGUUCCGAAUUUUCCGAUUGUUCCGAAUUUGCCGAUUGUUCCGAAUUUGCCAAAUAUUCCGAAUCUUACCCAAACUCUGACCCAAAGUCUGAUUCAGACGCUAAUUCAAAGUCUAUGCCAAAGUUUCCAAAAGAUGCUGAGAUGACUAUGCAUGCUGUUUCUUCUUUGUCUCCACAGACUUCCUAUAUCAGAGGCUCUUUCCAUCAAGGAGAUUACCGUUUUGGCUGGAAUAGGGGAAGCCAAUGUGGUGCAAACAGUUUAACUGCAAUUGUGAUGUGUAAGAUGAAAAGUGUGUUGCAGUGGACAAGAAGUGACCUGAAUGCUGUUUUGAUCCACGGAAAUGACCUGUACAGUGCAAUGAGAGACGCAGGGAAGAUCAACGAUCCUGAAUCAGGCUUCAUAGCUGUUCAUGAGCUACCAGACACACACACUCUGAAAGAUUGUCAGUUUUCAAUAAACUAUGGUGAAACAUUGACUGGCUUGUUUGGUGUCAAUAAAUAUGAUGGUGAACUACGAGGGUAUGCAAUGUCAUUUGAUGAAGCAGUAAAUCGAGCAUUCCAGAGGUUUGAUGCAUGCUUAGUGAAUAUUAAGCUAACCAUAUGUGCAGCUGUCAGAGAAGGUUCCUGGUAUGCAGUGAUUGAUCCACAUUCAAGACGCUUUGAUGGCAGAUGUGUAGCUGACGGUAAGAGUGUAGUGGUUUACCAUCGUGACUUGCAUUCUCUGAUUGUUCAUUUCCGGAAACUCGCUGCGUCUAUUAAUGCACGUUACCAUGAGUUUGAGGUAACUGGGGUCAAUGCAGUUAUGAUUGACAGAAACGAUCAACAGGGUAAGCCAUUCUGUCCAGUGAUCCAGAACACUGAACGAGCAGUGAAAGAGAGUGAAGGUGAUGUUGGCUGCACUCAAUCUCUGAGUGAUUUUGUAAACUCUGUGAACGAAACUUGUGUAGAACAGAAAACGGAAAUGGCUUCAUACACACUCAUGGAAAUGCAGGUGAUGUUGAAUUUAUUUCAGAAAGUGCCAGUGAUUCUAUACAGUUUAGUCCAUUAACACUUGAGCAACAAAAGAGUGUUUGCUUAAAGCUGAACAUUGCAAAUGUUGUAAAAGAAUGAAAUAAUCCAAAUGUGAUGCCAAUGGAAAUUUCUGAGCCUUGUGAAACUAUGAAAAUUGUUAAAGAUGCAAACUGCUUUUUUCGAGCCUUAGCCUAUGAUGUAAGUGGAACGGAACGAGAACACAGAAAAGUAAGACGGGCUGUAGUUACACACAUACUGCAGAAUGAAGAAAAGUAUGUACAGUAUCUCAGACAAGGAUACAGCUCUGUACCGGAGUACAUUGCCACAUCAAGAAUGAAAUUUGUUGGAAAUUGGGCAACAGAGAUGGAAAUACAAGCAGCCAGUGAUUUAAUUGGUGUAGAUAUUUUUACAUACAGUCAAGAGAAAUGGUUUAAGUUUUCAUCUUCAAAUGCGUCCUUUAAUACACAUGGCUGUCAAGACAUCGGCAUAUAUUUGAAACAUGUGAAUAGCUGUCAUUAUGAAGUCGUCGUAUGUGGAAAAAGCAAGGAUGGUAACUGUGCUUCCAUUUGUAAAUCAGCAAUUCAAGAUCCAUUGUUUAAUGUAGCAACAAAUGUGUCUUCAAAGUCACGUGAGGAUUAUAAGAAGAAACUUCAAUGCAACAAUAGUACUGAGUUCAAAGAAGAAAAACAAGUGAAGUCAAAGAAAAGUUUCCAUGAGGAUGAAAGUUACAUUUCAAUGAUGUGAAAGUUACAUUUCAAUGAUGAAAUCCAUCAAUAAAAAAUAUAAGAAAAAUGAACAGCAUAAAAGAAAAGUAAAGAAAAGUCUGGACAAAUCAAAUGAUUUACAUUGCAAAGCUGUGUCAGAAGUUGAUAUUGCCUGUAGUCAAUCUUUGAGAGAUUUUAUAAAUACAGACAAAGUAUCUGUGAAUGAAAUGUAUGCUGAAAAAAAAACAGAAACACCUUUUUUAUACCUAACAAAAGAAAAUGCAAGUGAUGUUGAAUUUAUUUCAGAAACUGCUACUGUUUCUUUACAGAGUGUGGAAAAGUACAA